This 22-nucleotide microRNA is filed under the name Pan troglodytes (chimpanzee). RNAcentral describes it as "ptr-miR-548l". Its record names the gene ptr-miR-548l. RNAcentral also lists the same sequence under 1 other name. Lineage: Eukaryota; Metazoa; Chordata; Mammalia; Primates; Hominidae. The record is from miRBase by way of RNAcentral.
AAAAGUAUUUGCGGGUUUUGUC